This 84-nucleotide non-coding RNA is filed under the name Shigella dysenteriae 1012. Its description in RNAcentral is "sRNA-Xcc1". It matches the Rfam family "sRNA-Xcc1". Lineage: Bacteria; Pseudomonadati; Pseudomonadota; Gammaproteobacteria; Enterobacterales; Enterobacteriaceae. The record is from Rfam by way of RNAcentral.
GGUCGGGCGUGCGGCUAAUAAAACACCCGCAAGGGAAAUAUGCCCGCCGUCUAUCGCCGGUUUUGAGCGCCCGACCACCCUCUC